Molecule: ribosomal RNA, 425 nt
Filed under: uncultured prokaryote
Description: bacterial SSU rRNA
Rfam family: Bacterial small subunit ribosomal RNA
Source: RNAcentral
UGAGGAAUAUUGCACAAUGGGCGCAAGCCUGAUGCAGCGACGCCGCGUGGGUGAAGACGGUUUUCGGACUGUAAAGCCCUUUUCUGCGUGACGAGAGUGGACGGUAGCGCAGGAAUAAGUCUCGGCUAACUACGUGCCAGCAGCCGCGGUAAAACGUAGGAGGCGAGCGUUAUCCGGAGUUACUGGGCGUAAAGCGCGUGCAGGCGGAAGCGUAAGUUACUUAUGAAAGCUCUUGGCUAAACUGGGAGAGGUUAAGUAAAACUGCGUUUCUAGAGUGGAUGAGAGGUAAGCAGAAUUCCUUGUGUAGUGGUGAAAUGCGUAGAUAUGAGGAAGAAUACCAGUGGCGAAGGCGGCUUACUGGCAUCCAACUGACGCUCAGACGCGAAAGCAUGGGUAGCGAACGGGAUUAGAUACCCCCGUAGUCC